RNAcentral lists this ribosomal RNA (253 nucleotides) under uncultured bacterium. Its description in RNAcentral is "partial 16S ribosomal RNA". It matches the Rfam family "Bacterial small subunit ribosomal RNA", at positions 524 to 776 of the family's 1533-position model. The record is from RNAcentral.
UACGGAGGGGGCUAGCGUUGUUCGGAAUUACUGGGCGUAAAGCGCACGUAGGCGGCUUUGUAAGUUAGAGGUGAAAGCCCGGGGCUCAACUCCGGAAUUGCCUUUAAGACUGCAUCGCUCGAAUUGUGGAGAGGUAAGUGGAAUUCCGAGUGUAGAGGUGAAAUUCGUAGAUAUUCGGAAGAACACCAGUGGGGAAGGCGGCUUACUGGAACCAUAAUGACGCUGAGGGGCGAAAGCGGGGGGGGCAAACAGG